GACAAACGCUGGCGGCAUGCCUAACACAUGCAAGUCGAACGGACAGAACAGGGAAGCUUUUCGGAGUGGAACUGGAAAGUUAGUGGCGGAUGGGUGAGUAACGCGUGGACAACCUACCUUGUAAAGGGGAAUAACCUCGAGAAAUCGAAGCUAAUACCCCAUAAUAACCUUGCUUCGCAUGAAGUAAGGAGGAAAGGCGGCCUCAGCGCUGUCGAUACCAGAUGGGUCCGCGUCUGAUUAGCUAGUUGGUGAGGUAAAGGCUCACCAAGGCGACGAUCAGUAGCCGGCCUGAGAGGGUGAACGGCCACAUUGGGACUGAGACACGGCCCAAACUCCUACGGGAGGCAGCAGUGGGGAAUCUUCCGCAAUGGGCGAAAGCCUGACGGAGCAAUGCCGCGUGAGUGAAGAAGGCCUUCGGGUUGUAAAACUCUGUCCUUAUCGAAGAGAGAGUGUUGUAGUAACUGACAAUACUAGGACGGUAGAUGAGGAGGAAGCCCCGGCUAACUAUGUG
This 511-nucleotide ribosomal RNA is filed under the name uncultured bacterium. Its description in RNAcentral is "partial 16S ribosomal RNA". It matches the Rfam family "Bacterial small subunit ribosomal RNA", at positions 28 to 507 of the family's 1533-position model. The record is from RNAcentral.